UACGUAGGGUGCAAGCGUUGUCCGGAAUUAUUGGGCGUAAAGAGCUCGUAGGCGGUCUGUCGCGUCGGCUGUGAAAACUUGGGGCUCAACUCCGAGCUUGCAGUCGAUACGGGCAGGCUAGAGUUCGGCAGGGGAGACUGGAAUUCCUGGUGUAGCGGUGAAAUGCGCAGAUAUCAGGAGGAACACCGGUGGCGAAGGCGGGUCUCUGGGCCGAUACUGACGCUGAGGAGCGAAAGCGUGGGGAGCGAACAGG
This 253-nucleotide ribosomal RNA is filed under the name uncultured bacterium. RNAcentral describes it as "partial 16S ribosomal RNA". It matches the Rfam family "Bacterial small subunit ribosomal RNA", at positions 524 to 776 of the family's 1533-position model. The record is from RNAcentral.